UUGUAGUUGUUGUGGUUCCUGCUGCAGUUGUUGUGGUUCCUGCACCGGUUGUUGUGGUUCCUGCACCGGUUGUUGUGGUUGUUGUGGUUCCUGCUGCAGUUGUUGUGGUUCCUGCAGCAGUUGUUGUGGUUCCUGCACCGGUUGUUGUGGUUCCUGCCCCAGUUGUUGUGGUUCCUGCCCCAGUUGCUGUGGUUCCUGCACCGGUUGUUGUGGUUCCUGCCGCAGUUGUUGUGGUUUCUGAACCAGUUGUUGUGGUUCCUGCCCCAGUUGCUGUGGUUCCUGCCCCAGUUGUUGUGGUUCCUGCCGCAGUUGUUGUGGUUUCUGCACCGGUUGUUGUGGUUCCUGCACCGGUUGUUGUGGUUCCUGCAGCAGUUGUUGUGGUUGUUGCAGCAGUUGCUGUGGUUGUUGCUGCAGUUGUUGUAGUUACUGCUGCAGCUGUUGUUGAUUCAGCAGUUGUUGUGGUUGUUGCUGCAGUUGUUGUAGUUACUGCUGCAGUUGUUGUGGUUCCUGCACCGGUUGUUGUGGUUCCUGCAGCAGUUGUUGUGGUUGUUGCAGCAGUUGCUGUGGUUGUUGCUGCAGUUGUUGUAGUUACUGCUGCAGCUGUUGUUGAUUCAGCAGUUGUUGUGGUUGUUGCUGCAGUUGUUGUAGUUACUGCUGCAGUUGUUGUGGUUCCCGCACCGGUUGUUGUGGUUCCUGCAGCAGUUGUUGUGGUUGUUGCUGCAGUUGUUGUAGUUACUGCUGCAGCUGUUGUUGAUUCAGCAGUUGUCGUGGUUGUUGCUGCAGUUGUUGUAGUUACUGCUGCAGUUGUUGAGGUUCCAGUAGUUGUUGUUGAUUCCGCAGUUGUUGUUGUUGGUUCAGCAGUUGUUGUUGAUGUUGUAUUCUCAGCACUUAUAGUUACAGGUACAGUAACAAGCAGUAUGGCCACUAUUUGUAAAGAGCAAAAGGAUUAUUGCAUGCAAAUCUAUAUCUAAGAGCUCUAUAUUUUAUGAUUAUAUUAUUAAUGUCAUACUUACGUGUAAUUAUCAGUAAUUUUGACGUAAACCCCAUUGUGUCUCUUCUUGAACCUAUAAUUUGUGACAGUACAAUGACUUUUUCUGGAUCACAGGAUGUAAACAGAACCCUAUAUCAACUUAAUGUUGACUUUGUCUCUUGAUUUUGUGUUUCAUAAUUAUUAAAUCUGUUUUUCUCACUCUUGAAUGUGCAGCUUCUCCUCUGUUUUGGAAUCAUUUCGCAAUUUCAAAUACAGUCUAAACAACAUCAUUGUAAAACAACAAGCAUUGUUCUCUUCAGUGUAUUAUCUGUGCCUGGAUUUGCACUGAUAGCUCAUGAAUGCAUUAUUUUCUAUUUUUGAAUUUUGCUUUGCUGCAAUGGGUAGGCGACCUGUCCAGGCGUACCCUGCCUCUCGCCCAUAGCCAGCAGGGAUACGCUCCAGCACCCCCGCGACCCCGCAUAUGGUAUUAAGUGGUAUGGAAAAUGGAUGGAUGGAUGGAAUUUUGCUUUGUUGUGUAAAAAACUAAAAACAUAAAUAAUGAGGAAGAGGUAAUCAGUGGAAAAAUGACUGUAUUUAUACAUGUUACUUAAUCAUUACUUUCUUGGUUCAGUGUUUUCAAAAAUUAUAAGAAAUUUAAAUUAAUAAAUAUAUUUUUAAAACCUAUUAUCA
Betta splendens (Siamese fighting fish) is the source of this 1660-nucleotide long non-coding RNA. NCBI's taxonomy places the organism in Eukaryota, Metazoa, Chordata, Actinopteri, Anabantiformes, Osphronemidae. The record is from Ensembl.